RNAcentral lists this ribosomal RNA (253 nucleotides) under uncultured bacterium. RNAcentral's name for it is "partial 16S ribosomal RNA". It matches the Rfam family "Bacterial small subunit ribosomal RNA", at positions 524 to 776 of the family's 1533-position model. The record is from RNAcentral.
UACGUAGGGUGCAAGCGUUAAUCGGAAUUACUGGGCGUAAAGCGUGCGCAGGCGGUUUUGUAAGUCUGACGUGAAAUCCCCGGGCUCAACCUGGGAAUUGCGUUGGAGACUGCAAGGCUAGAAUCUGGCAGAGGGGGGUAGAAUUCCACGUGUAGCAGUGAAAUGCGUAGAGAUGUGGAGGAACACCGAUGGCGAAGGCAGCCCCCUGGGUCAAGAUUGACGCUCAUGCACGAAAGCUGGGGGAGCAAACAGG